AGGUUAGUUUUACCCUACUGAUGACCGUCGCCCCAAUGGUAAUUCCGCUUAGUACGAGAGGAACCGCGGAUUCAGAUAAUUGGUUUUUGCGGCUGUCCGACCGGGCAGUGCCGCGAAGCUACCAUCUGCUGGAUAAUAGCUGAACGCCUCUAAGUUAGAAUCCAUGCCAGAACGGGGCGAUUUUCUCCAGCACGUCGUACGAGGAUACGAAUAGGCUUCGGCCCCGGACCUUAGCAGGGCAUAACUCCUCUCUCGUAGAAGUCGGGAGAGGUAAUUGCCGGAUAGCAAUUUGACAGCGCGCUGGGAUGAAUCCUUUGCAGACGACUUAGACGUGUAACCGGGUCGUGUAAGCAGUCGAG
Molecule: ribosomal RNA, 359 nt
Filed under: Ditylum brightwellii
Lineage: Eukaryota; Bacillariophyta; Thalassiosirophyceae; Lithodesmiales; Lithodesmiaceae
Description: partial Eukaryotic large subunit ribosomal RNA
Rfam family: Eukaryotic large subunit ribosomal RNA
Source: RNAcentral